UAGCCUGUCCUUACAGUAAUCAGUUGAAUGC
Molecule: non-coding RNA, 31 nt
Filed under: Rattus norvegicus (Norway rat)
Lineage: Eukaryota; Metazoa; Chordata; Mammalia; Rodentia; Muridae
Source: RNAcentral